AGGCGCACCGCUGCGGACCGGACCGCCAGGAGCUUGGGUUGACCGAGCGCCGGCUGGCGGGGCGUUUGUUUGUCUUUUCGUGCGUCGUCUUCAGGAUCAGCUGCUCCAGGAAGCGAGAUGGCGAAGCCGCCACCCAAACCGGUCAAACCAGGCCCUGUGCAGAUCCCCUUCCAUCUACCUGCCUCAACCACGGUGGACAAGGAUUAGUGUACUGAAGUCCGGACCCAAAGAAAUAGUGUUUGGCUCAUGACUGGUGGACUCAGCCCUUCUCUAUGGGGACAGGGUGGGGUUGCAAAGAAAUGGAAAGGGUGUGCCUGGGAAGGUGAGAAGCCAGCAGAGUGAAAAACCAACAGGGGCCCGCAGCUGUGGGUGUUUACUUAUCUUGCUAACCUCAGGAAACCAGCCUUGCUGAAAUCCUUAAUACCAUUCGCAUGCUACUUCAUGUGAGAGCCACGUAAAACAUCAGGCAAAAGAUUGGGCUUCUUUCCAGUCUCAUUCAGGGUGAAUUCCAGGGUGAUUGCAGGUAAUCCAUGCAGUCUUCCCAGCUCUACUUUCUCUUUUUGUUAUGUGUAACCAGACUUCCAUGAGAAAAUGAUGAAGAUGGAAGUUGCCCGAAUAAGGCAUCGAAGUUAGCCUCCCUGCAUAUAUAAGAACACAACUAUUUCACAUUUGUGAAUCUGCUUUCUUUAAAUAAAAUUGGAAUUGAUCAGUA
This is a long non-coding RNA of Myotis davidii, 712 nucleotides long. RefSeq lists it as uncharacterized. The transcript is spliced from 2 exons. The record is from RefSeq and is a predicted model, not a curated record. Lineage: Eukaryota; Metazoa; Chordata; Mammalia; Chiroptera; Vespertilionidae.